RNAcentral lists this ribosomal RNA (586 nucleotides) under Aureobasidium pullulans. RNAcentral describes it as "partial large subunit ribosomal RNA". It matches the Rfam family "Eukaryotic large subunit ribosomal RNA", at positions 67 to 669 of the family's 3401-position model. Lineage: Eukaryota; Fungi; Ascomycota; Dothideomycetes; Dothideales; Saccotheciaceae. The record is from RNAcentral.
CCCGUGGCGUGCGGUAGCUACGGCGAGUGAGCGGCAACAGCUCAAAUUUGAAAGCUAGCCUUCGGGUUCGCAUUGUAAUUUGUAGAGGAUGAUUUGGGGAAGCCGCCUGUCUAAGUUCCUUGGAACAGGACGUCAUAGAGGGUGAGAAUCCCGUAUGUGACAGGAAAUGGCACCCUAUGUAAAUCUCCUUCGACGAGUCGAGUUGUUUGGGAAUGCAGCUCUAAAUGGGAGGUAAAUUUCUUCUAAAGCUAAAUAUUGGCGAGAGACCGAUAGCGCACAAGUAGAGUGAUCGAAAGAUGAAAAGCACUUUGGAAAGAGAGUUAAAAAGCACGUGAAAUUGUUGAAAGGGAAGCGCUCGCAAUCAGACUUGUUUAAACUGUUCGGCCGGUCUUCUGACCGGUUUACUCAGUUUGGACAGGCCAGCAUCAGUUUCGGCGGCCGGAUAAAGGCUCUGGGAAUGUGGCCUCCACUUCGGUGGAGGUGUUAUAGCCCAGGGUGUAAUACGGCCAGCCGGGACUGAGGUCCGCGCUUCGGCUAGGAUGCUGGCGUAAUGGUUGUAAGCGACCCGUCUUGAACCACGGACCCA